CCUACGGGGGGCAGCAGUGGGGAAUAUUGGACAAUGGGGGGAACCCUGAUCCAGCCAUGCCGCGUGUGUGAAGAAGGCCCUCGGGUUGUAAAGCACUUUCAGUGAGGAAGAACGCCUGGUGGUUAAUACCCAUCAGGAAAGACAUCACUCACAGAAGAAGCACCGGCUAACUCCGUGCCAGCAGCCGCGGUAAUACGGAGGGUGCGAGCGUUAAUCGGAAUUACUGGGCGUAAAGCGCGCGUAGGUGGCUUGAUAAGCCGGUUGUGAAAGCCCCGGGCUCAACCUGGGAACGGCCUCCGGAACUGUCAAGCUAGAGUGCAGGAGAGGAAGGUAGAAUUCCCGGUGUAGCGGUGAAAUGCGUAGAGAUCGGGAGGAAUACCAGUGGCGAAGGCGGCCUUCUGGACUGACACUGACACUGAGGUGCGAAAGCGUGGGUAGCAAACAGGAUUAGAUACCCGAGUAGUC
Molecule: ribosomal RNA, 465 nt
Filed under: Vreelandella stevensii
Lineage: Bacteria; Pseudomonadati; Pseudomonadota; Gammaproteobacteria; Oceanospirillales; Halomonadaceae
Description: partial 16S ribosomal RNA
Rfam family: Bacterial small subunit ribosomal RNA
Source: RNAcentral